Molecule: ribosomal RNA, 509 nt
Filed under: uncultured bacterium
Lineage: Bacteria
Description: bacterial SSU rRNA
Rfam family: Bacterial small subunit ribosomal RNA
Source: RNAcentral
CUACGUGCCAGCAGCCGCGGUAAUACGUAGGUGGCAAGCGUUGUCCGGAAUUAUUGGGCGUAAAGCGCGCGCAGGCGGAUUGGUCAGUCUGUCCUAAAAGUUCGGGGCUUAACCCCGUGAUGGGAUGGAAACUGCCAAUCUAGAGUAUCGGAGAGGAAAGUGGAAUUCCUAGUGUAGCGGUGAAAUGCGUAGAUAUUAGGAAGAACACCAGUGGCGAAGGCGACUUUCUGGACGAAAACUGACGCUGAGGCGCGAAAGCCAGGGGAGCGAACGGGAUUAGAUACCCCGGUAGUCCUGGCCGUAAACGAUGGGUACUAGGUGUAGGAGGUAUCGACCCCUUCUGUGCCGGAGUUAACGCAAUAAGUACCCCGCCUGGGGAGUACGACCGCAAGGUUGAAACUCAAAGGAAUUGACGGGGGCCCGCACAAGCGGUGGAGUAUGUGGUUUAAUUCGACGCAACGCGAAGAACCUUACCAGGUCUUGACAUUGAUGGACAGAACUAGAGAUAG